Molecule: ribosomal RNA, 1346 nt
Filed under: uncultured bacterium
Lineage: Bacteria
Description: bacterial SSU rRNA
Rfam family: Bacterial small subunit ribosomal RNA
Source: RNAcentral
GACGAACGCUGGCGGCGUGCUUAACACAUGCAAGUCGAACGGAAAGGCCCUGCUUUUGUGGGGUGCUCGAGUGGCGAACGGGUGAGUAACACGUGAGUAACCUGCCCUUGACUUUGGGAUAACUUCAGGAAACUGGGGCUAAUACCGGAUAGGAGCUCCUGCUGCAUGGUGGGGGUUGGAAAGUUUCGGCGGUUGGGGAUGGACUCGCGGCUUAUCAGCUUGUUGGUGGGGUAGUGGCUUACCAAGGCUUUGACGGGUAGCCGGCCUGAGAGGGUGACCGGCCACAUUGGGACUGAGAUACGGCCCAGACUCCUACGGGAGGCAGCAGUGGGGAAUAUUGCACAAUGGGCGGAAGCCUGAUGCAGCAACGCCGCGUGCGGGAUGACGGCCUUCGGGUUGUAAACCGCUUUCGCCUGUGACGAAGCGUGAGUGACGGUAAUGGGUAAAGAAGCACCGGCUAACUACGUGCCAGCAGCCGCGGUGAUACGUAGGGUGCGAGCGUUGUCCGGAUUUAUUGGGCGUAAAGGGCUCGUAGGUGGUUGAUCGCGUCGGAAGUGUAAUCUUGGGGCUUAACCCUGAGCGUGCUUUCGAUACGGGUUGACUUGAGGAAGGUAGGGGAGAAUGGAAUUCCUGGUGGAGCGGUGGAAUGCGCAGAUAUCAGGAGGAACACCAGUGGCGAAGGCGGUUCUCUGGGCCUUUCCUGACGCUGAGGAGCGAAAGCGUGGGGAGCGAACAGGCUUAGAUACCCUGGUAGUCCACGCUGUAAACGGUGGGUACUAGGUGUGGGGUCCAUUCCACGGGUUCCGUGCCGUAGCUAACGCUUUAAGUACCCCGCCUGGGGAGUACGGCCGCAAGGCUAAAACUCAAAGGAAUUGACGGGGCCCCGCACAAGCGGCGGAGCAUGCGGAUUAAUUCGAUGCAACGCGUAGAACCUUACCUGGGUUUGACAUGGAUCGGGAGCGCUCAGAGAUGGGUGUGCCUCUUUUGGGGUCGGUUCACAGGUGGUGCAUGGCUGUCGUCAGCUCGUGUCGUGAGAUGUUGGGUUAAGUCCCGCAACGAGCGCAACCCUUGUUCACUGUUGCCAGCACGUUAUGGUGGGGACUCAGUGGAGACCGCCGGGGUCAACUCGGAGGAAGGUGGGGAUGACGUCAAGUCAUCAUGCCCCUUAUGUCCAGGGCUUCACGCAUGCUACAAUGGCUGGUACAGAGAGUGGCGAGCCUGUGAGGGUGAGCGAAUCUCGAAAAGCCGGUCUCAGUUCGGAUUGGGGUCUGCAACUCGACCUCAUGAAGUCGGAGUCGCUAGUAAUCGCAGAUCAGCAACGCUGCGGUGAAUACGUUCCCGGGGCU